GCAAGUCUGGUGCCAGCAGCCGCGGUAAUUCCAGCUCCAAUAGCGUAUAUUAAAGUUGUUGCAGUAAAAAGCUCGUAGUUGAACCUUGGGCUUGGUUGGCCGGUCCGCCUUUUUGGCGAGUACUGGACCCAACCGAGCCUUUCCUUCUGGCUAACCUUUCGCCCUUGUGGUGUUUGGCGAACCAGGACUUUUACUUUGAAAAAAUUAGAGUGUUCAAAGCAGGCCUUUGCUCAAAUAUAUUAGCAUGGAAUAAUAGAAUAGGACGUUAUGGUUCUAUUUUGUUGGUUUCUAGGACCAUCGUAAUGAUUAAUAGGGACGGUCGGGGGCAUCAGUAUUCAGUUGUCAGAGGUGAAAUUCUUGGAUUACCUGAAGACUAACUACUGCGAAAGCAUUUGCCA
This 398-nucleotide ribosomal RNA is filed under the name Debaryomyces hansenii. RNAcentral describes it as "SSU rRNA". It matches the Rfam family "Eukaryotic small subunit ribosomal RNA", at positions 555 to 960 of the family's 1831-position model. RNAcentral also lists the same sequence under 1 other name. Lineage: Eukaryota; Fungi; Ascomycota; Pichiomycetes; Serinales; Debaryomycetaceae. The record is from RNAcentral.